UGAUGCAGUAACUGAUCCAGAAGGCUCUAAGAAACUCUAUCAAGAGGCUUCUUCAACUGACAAAAGUAUCAAGCUAUGUGAAGGAUUGUUGCAUGACUUGUUAUUCGAACCUGAAAAAGAAGAAGUUGUGAAGGAUAUAAUUGAAUGGCUCAACCAAAGAUUGUGAAGAUAUUGAAAACUCAAAGGAAUAGCUUGAUCAAAGGAGGUAGAGCGACAACAUGAGUCCAAGGAGAUUGCCAAUGCCAAGUUUGGGAUUUCCCUCAAUGAGACUGUAUAUUAAGUGAGGGAAUUAAGAGAAUUGAACUUGCUAAAUAAGUUUGAACACAUUGAACGUGGAGAAGCUUACACUGUUAAUUAAUGUAAUGACAUCUGAUCAGUGGUGACAUUGCUCAAGAUGUUGCUUGUGGUAGUUUAAAGUUUUGACAACCACAGAAAUUGCACAAACAAAUGGGACUUUGUAAGAAUGGUUAUAACAUCAUCCAUUAAAAGGUGUUUUCGGUAAUACCUUAGUUUUUGUUGAUUAACCAAAGUAACUAGCUAGGAAACUUUUUAACAUUGUAUAUAUCUUUUCUGCUAAAUGAUAAAGUAAAAAAUUUCAUGGAAAGAUUAUCUCUCGGUAAUAUAUUGAUUUCUUACAAUGUCUUCACUGAGAUAGGCUUUCUGUGCAGUAUGCAUUCAUUGAUUGAUGAGAUAAAAAGAUGCAUGUAUCUCCAAUCAUCUACAGUAUUUGAUAGUGUGUAUUGACCUUUUGCAGAUGCCAGAAAUGCCAGUCAGACAUUUGGUUUGAAGGUUAGGCUCAUCUACACUGCUAAAUGAUGUUUUGAUGCAUACAUUAUAGUAUGAUUUUUUGAACAAGUAUGAAUAUAGUACAUAGCUUAUUAUCAUGUGUUUUGACAGACUGCACUUUUUAAACGUAUAGUUAUCAAUAUUUUUCAACUUUUUCGGAGAAGAUUGAUUACCAUCAGAGCAACCCCUCUUGUCUUAAUAUAUAGUUAUGUUAUAAUAUAUAUUCUAUAUAAUAAUACUUCGCUAUAAUAUUCAAAUAUAUUCGAAACAAGCAAUAUUAUUAUAGAGAGGUUUGCUGUAUUUAGAAGUUUCUAGGAGCAGAUAAUGGAGGAAUCGACAUGAGACCCAUAAUUUUGUACCAACCAUAAUUUAUAUGUCAUCAUAAUGCAUGUAACUAAGUGUCACAGGGGCAUUUUCUGUCCUGCGAAAACCUGCCCGCUGUGCGGCAAUCAAGUCCCUACUUGGCUCAGCCUUCACCCAAUUUAUUUCGCUUUCGAUGUUGAACACUUAGAAUAUUUUCAAGGCAAUAUAAAAUAUAUAAAGGCACAAGGAGAAUUACGGAAACCUUUUCCCAACCUUUUAUAAUAAAUGAAUUACAAAGAAAAAAUCUCGAGUUUGGAAAGGUGCUGCCACCCUUGGCAGACAUCAACUCACAAAAUUGCCAACUCUUGCACAUUUUGCCUUAUAAAAGCCCCUGCCUAAGACAUUUCGUGCCUUCCACUGAUUUUGGUAAGACAAUGGCACAUAACUUGCCAUGCUCUUUGGCAAGGUAAUGGCACAUAAUUUGCCAUGCUCAAGCCUUGACAUAAACAACCCUAUGUCUAUAUCUUGCCUAUUUUCCCUCCUUCGGUACUUAGACGUUUUGGGGGUUGCAAACACACAUAUUUAUAGUGUAGUUAGCCUAUUUCAAUUUUCCUAUUUCAGUUGACACCCCAAACGAUAAGCCAUGAUCACCCAUGAUAAAAAACAUGUAUGUCAUGAUCUAGCAUGCCCUAAAAAUGUGCAUACACAGCUCCAUUAUCAGCCACUCUUUGGACAAGGUAGUUGUAACCGUCCAACUGCACGGCAUGUGCCAGCACACUUGAUAACCGCUCUAUGUGCACAGCAUGUGUGUGUUUCUGGCCAACUGCUGCACGCCCAAGGCUGGCAUUACGCACAACCUUGCCCUAUAACAAUGCUCCGCCCCAAUGCCAUAGCCGCAACUUGUCGCUCAUGACUAAGCCGCACGCACGCCCGUUGCCUCAGCCGCUUGUUAUGUCAAUUCGUCCCUACUUGAUCAAGUCUGUCCUUUGCUAGUGCCAAGCUAAUAUUAGUAUCAAGUCACCAAGCCAUGAUGCCAUUUUCCUUGUUAAGUCAUUCGCCCACAAAUUUCUUAGGUGCCAGCCCGCUCACCUAAGCCAAGGCAAUACCAAGUUGCCAAUGCCACUGCCUUGGCAUUAAGCCGCCUUGUCUUAGCGCCUGUCUUUCCCGCAUUGCUUUGUCAAGCUUCCGUCCAGCCCGCCUCUUUCCUUCAAGACCUUGGCCUUUGCUUGCACACAACCCACUCGUGCUUUAGUAUAGUCCAUCACACCUUAGCCUUGCGAUAGUAGUGUAGUCUGUCACACUUAGUCUUGCAACAAUUUGUUGCCAUUUGACAACGCCCGCAUUGUCUUGCAUGUUGUUUUCCUCAGAGGCCAAUGGAAAGGCCUUCAUGUCAAAUCCUUUCCACUAUCGCGCCAUUUGCCGAUCAGCUUUUUCAAUGGUCUUACAAACCACCCCAAUUAGUUGAAUUCGACAAACCACCCCAACUAGUUGAAUUCGACGCCCUCGUCGAAUAAUUCCCAACACAUGCUCAUCAUUUGCAAAGACAUCACAAGUUCAGCACCCUUUUGAGAAUUACGUUGUCCUUGCCCUCAAAUGCAAUGUUUUUCUCGUUUGCCUUUCCUGCCCGUCAUUCCCAUGGAAAAUCUAGCACGCAAUUGAUUUUAUUUGAAUGAAAUGACCACUCAUUUUGGCACCCCUCAACUCAAAACUCUGCAUCACUGCCUUCUUUGCCUUUUUUGAAUUUUCUAAGCCCGGACAAUCCCUUCCACGAACAAACACACUGACCCCUUGUGUUGCCGUAUUUUCCAUGGCCGUCCCACCCUCGUCAUAACCCUACUCUGCUCUGAUACCAAUUGUCAUAGGGGCGUUUUCUAUCCACCGAAAACCUGCCUGAUGUGCGGCAGUCAAGUCCCUACUUGGCUCAGCCUUCACCCGAUUUCUUUCUCUUUCGAGGUUUAACACUUAGAAUAUUGUCAAGGCAACAUAAAAUAUAUAAAGGAACAAGCAGAAUUACGGGAACCCUCUCCCAGCCUUAUAUAAUAAAUGAAUUACAAAGAAAAAUCUCGAGUUUGGCAAGGUGAUGCCACCCUUGGCAGACACCAACUCACAAAAUUGCUGACUCUUGCACAAUCUGCCUUAUAAAAGCCCAUGCUUAAGACAUUUCAUGUUUCCCACUGAUUUUGGCAAGACAGUGGCACAUAAUUUGUCAUGAUCAAGCCUUGACAUAGACAACCCUAUGCCUAUAUCUUGCCUAUUUUCCCUCACUCAGUGCUUAGACGUUUUUGGGGCUGCUAACGCACAAAUUUAUAGUGUAGUCAGCCCAUUCCGAUUUUCCUAUUUCAGUUGACACCCCCAACUUAUAUGCCAUUAUCACCAAUGAUAAAAAAAACGUGCAUGUCAUGAUCUAACAUGCCUUAAAAACGUGCAUACACUUAGCCCUAUUAUCAGCCACUCUUUGGACAAGGCAGGUGUCGCCGCCCAACUGAACGGCACGUGCCUAGCACACUUGAUAACUGAUCCAUGGGCAUUGUAUGUGCAUGUUUAUUGCCAGCUGAUGCAUGCCCAAGGCUUACGCCUAGCCAUGCCCUUUGACACUGCUCCGCCCCAAUGUCAUAGCCACAGCUUGUCACCCAUGACUUAGUUGCACGCUCGUCCACUGCCACAGACGCUUGUUCAUGUGAAGUCUUCCCUAGUUGACCAAGUCUGCCCUUUGCCAAUGCCAAGCUGAUAUUAGCAUCAAGUCACCAAGCCAUGAUUCUAUUUCCAUUGCUAACCUAAUCCAAGGCAACACCAAGUUUCCACUGCCACUGCCUUGGCACUAAGCCGCAUUGUCUUAGCGCCUAGAUCUUUCUCGCAUUGUUUUGUCAAGCUUCCAUGCAGCACGCCUACUUCCUUCAAGACCUUGGCCUUCUUGCACACAGAUUAGCCUUGCAAAAGUAGUGUAGUUCGUCACACUUAGCCUUGCAACAGUUUGUUGCCAUUAAGAAUGUCUGCAUUGUCUUGCAUGUUGUUUUCCCCCGCACAUAGGCCAAUAGCAAGGAUGUCAUGCCAAAUCCUUGCCAUUGCCGCGCCAUUUUCCGAUCAGCUUUCUCAAGGGUCUUACACUUAGUGAUAUCGGCAAAAGUGUCCCACAUAAUAAGUGUAAAUUCAAUUCAAUGUCUUUCAUUUGAAACUAUUUCCCAAUUUCGUUAUGUGUUUAAUUUUAUUUAAAAAAUAAAAAAUAAAAGAAACAUAGGUGAGGAUCUUGGAGAUGUACGUAUUUUAGUGGGCAUUCGGACAUAAGAAUUAUAAAAUUGCAAAAAAAAAAGGUAAAAAAAUAUUUAAAGUGAAAAUGGUAUUUGAAAAUUAGAGUUGUAUUACAUGAAUAUAAUCUUACGCUAUUUUUGAAAUUUUCUGAGUGAUCUGAGUGAAAAUUUUGAAAAACAGUUUUUUGGAGUUCUUCAAAUUUUGGAAUAAUUUCAAAAUGCAUCUUCAAGUGAAAAUUAAAAAUUUUAUGACCAAAUACUGAUUUCGAAAAAAGUGAAAUUUUUUUCGAAUAAAAGUGAAAAAAUUCUUGUAUCCAAACAGGCUCUAAUUUCGGUACAAUUUGGAAAACGACUUUUAAUGUUUAGUUAUAGUUGCCACUAGCAAGCAACCAAGUAAACAAAAAACUUCAGUCAUGGGGAAUGGGGGGCUUGCUAGUGCCGAGUCGUAUGCACGCAAGCAUAUCUGUGCAACUUGCACUGCAAAUCUCAUACGCACACUCAGCUACAAGUUGUGUUGAUAAUUGCAUUUCUUUAUUUUUAUCUCUUUUCUUAUUCUACUUUUGAAGUGACAAAGGCACUAAUCAUUCAUUUUUUAGGACACUUACAAGAAAUAGACAAGAGAGAUGAUAUGCCUGCACUGCUAGAGAAUAGCGUAUAGAUUUCCCCACUUGAGAUGUCAACCAAUUAAAUUAAUUACUCCAUUAUCCAAAGAGCUGUGCUGCUUUAUAUCACGCCUCUUAAUUACCCAACUUUUAUCUCUAAUGUGUUUCCGUUGCUUGUUAUCCUCACUUAAUAUUUACGUCAAAUAAAACUAAAUUAACUUAUUAUGGUUAAGUGAUUAAAUAAUGUACAAAUGUAGGCUAGUCAACCAUUUUUAAGUUAUAGAAAUUUAUUCAUAAAUACAUACUAUCAUUUAUCUAUUAAUUAAAUCAGAAAAACUCCAUGUGUGAGUACGUUUUUACCUUGUCGACGACGUGCAUUUACUCGUAUAUCAAGCCUUCACUUCCCCUCUUCUUCUUCCUUUUCUUUUGUUCUUUUUAAUGAAGGGAAUUGUGAUAAACUAGAAUAUCUUCUUUCCCCUAUAAUUCACGAGUUCACAAUCCACGCCAAAAGUUCAAAUCAAACGCCCAUCCUGCUCAAGACUAUUGUUUAUACUGUCGUUUAUUUUUAAAAUGUUUUGUUUGGGGGCCAUCACUAAAUAAGAUGUAUAUGAUAUCCUAGCAAAUGUUAGUAGUAAAAUACCAGUACCUUUGUUGUCUAACAAAUCGUAAUUCUUUUAUUUGAAUACCCACUAGCCAAGAGGUGCAUAAAUUAUGCCACCCCAGGACGAUGUGGAUUCUUUGAGUCGAUUAAACCCAUAGUCUUUAAAUAAAAUAAAAAAACAUAAAAAGAAAGUUGAAGACAAUGUGGUAGAUAUAAAAAAAAUACUUUCAUAAUCAAGUCAUAUUAUAGGCCUGCAUUGAACUUCUACUUAAUUAAUGAUUAUUACAAAAAUAAAAUCUAUCAAAUGUCUUCUGCUGACUAAUCCAAAAGGCAUAUCGCUAACAGCAUAAUUGGUGGAACUUUGUAUGCCAAUUAUCAAAUUAAUCUAUGUUGUCAGGUUAGUACUGUUUUUAUGUGGACAAAGAUUAAGGAAACCACCUAUGUUGUCCUUUUAAUUUCAUGAUCAUGAUCAAACUAUGCCCUGUAUUCAUGGUAGUCGUAGAUAACAGUGAGUUUUUCUUCUUUAAUUAUUACUACAAGAAAGGAAAUAGGAUUAAAAAAUUAAUUCGUCCUCCAAGAUCAUAGUUACUAAUCAUGAUUGGCUAAGAAUAAAUGCAAUUACUGCUACUACUAUUAUUACUAUUAUUAUUAUUAUUAUUAUUAUUAUUAUUAUUAUUAUUAUUAUUAUUAUNNNNNNNNNNNNNNNNNNNNUAAUUGUAUAUCUUAUACUACUAUUAUUAAUAUUGUCAUAUUAUUAUUAUUAUUAAAAGUAUUAUUAUUAUUAUUAUUAUUAUUAGUAUUAUUAUUAUAUUGGUUAAGCAAUAACCGGUGGCCUUCUUAGCUUAGAAAAGAACGGGUUACUGUUAUUUCAUCAUUGUUGAGGGUGAUAAUGGAUAUUUAGUGUAGCCAAAGCCAAUCAGAAUAAAACGACCUGAUUAAUAUUUGUUUGUGUUAUAUUAUUAAUAAAAUAAGUGAAAGGGCCCCAAUUGAUUGACUGAAUUAUGUAGUUCAAUCUCUUAGUACGUCCAUGGAACUGACCAAUUGGACACUCAGUUUUCUCCGUCCAUCCAAUCACAUGCAUGGACUAAAUGACCCUACAUGAAGAAAAUGACAUUUUGGUCUCAAGAAACAAUUCAGUAGUCAAAAGAUGGUAAUUCGAAUGAUAAUGUUCCGAGUUGAAAUAUUUGUCUCAUAACAGUCAUUGUUGUCUUGUCUAAUUGUCUCCUCUACUCCCCCAUUAACCCAAAAGAGAAAAAAGGAAAAAAAAACAUUAGUGUUAAAUGUUCUAUUGUGCACUAAUUUCAAAUAUCAUGCAUACCAAAUGAUUAACGGCUAGAUAGUCGGCCUCCCUUUACAGCCUAUAUACUUGUGUCUCUACUGAGAUCAGUUUGAUUUCAUGGAAAACUUUUAACCAUGAGAUAAUUCAAUACAUAGAUGACAAUACUUCCUUAUGCAGAUCAACAACUUUGUGAUGGAUAAACAUUACGAAGAUUGGAAGAAAUCACCAAGUGUCUUUUGUUUCUAUUGAGAUUUGAGCCAUUCACUUUGUUGACCACCAGAACACAUCUUAGAGUAGGGGUGUGCAUUCGAAUCGGUUUAUCGAUAAAUCGAAUCGAUUAUUUGUUAUCGAAAUCGAAAAAAUCGAAACCUUAUUGAAAUGAUAACGAUAAGCAUAUGUACAAGUCGAUAAUCGAUAAGUAAUUAUCGAUAAGGAUCAAAAUCGAAUGCCACCCCUAGACUGUAGACACGUGUAAAAUGAGUAAUUACCUAUUUGUGUAGAUUAAUAUAACAUACAGAAUGUAUAUAUAUUUCGCUACUAUUUUGAAAGCGACUAUACAAUAUCAUUUCCCCUAAUCUAGACCAUUUCCUUUAUCCUACGUCCCUUAACAUAUUAUAUCCUCUACCACAUUUAAGAAAUGAUCAUAUUUAAUGAUCAAGCGAAUGAAGUUCAAAUUAAUGGAAAACAAAAUUAGCCGUGAUGAUGUAUUUUGUUUUGUUUUGUUUAUUUCUACCGUUGGAGUGUUGGUGGCAUACAUUUGAUCCCUUACUUUAAUUUUGUUGCAUGUGCAUGUUGAUACAAUUUUUAUGUUAUAAAUGGUGUUCAUCUUAUUUUAGCUUCUUUUUGUCCAUAUUAGCUAGACGCGUUUAUAGCGAUAUACCUUUUCAUGGAAUCCUGCAAAUUUUCUUAUUGGUGUAAUCGAUGACAGAAUCGAUAAGCCCCCAAAAUCGAUAAAUCGAAAUCGAAAAAAUCGAAAUCUUAAUGAAACGAUAACGAUAAGCAUAUGUACAAAUCGAUAAUCGAUAAGUAAUUACCGAUAAGGGUCAAAAUCAAAUCGACAAAUCGAUUGCACACCUCUACCUUAGAGUGCAUGUCCGUUUCCUAUUUCAAUAACCCAAGCAAGAAAAGAGCUUCUUACUAAAAAAAAAUCGAUUCUUGAUUAAAGUAUAUGUUUCACCAAGAUCAGACAACAGAAACGCAAGGAAGAGAAGUGUUUCAUUGCGAAAAACUUAGUUUACAUUAAAUGCAAAAGCAAUUUUCAAACAUAAAAAACCACAACAAAUUUUCUAAUUUCUCCAAAUUAAUGUAUCUUUCCCAGAAAAAAGGUCCAAAUUCACUCAUAUAAGCUAUCAUCAUCUUACUGAAGACAAAUUCUUUAGUUAUAAGAUAACAAAAAAUGUUUUUCAACUCAACUAAGAAACCAAGUCCUUAUAACCAAAGGUGGCAACCUUGCAAACCAUCCUUGAAUGUUACAAAGUCGUUAUGUGAACAAAAGAAUGAGAGUAUCUCAUUGGUUUUCCAUAAGAAAUAUUAGUUUAAAGUUAAACGGAAGAUCCUAAUCCAACUUUCAUCAUCGCUCACAUCACCUCCCUUAUGAUCUUGAACUUCCAAUUAUGGAUUAAUUAAAUACUUUUUAAUUGUCUAUUUCAUUUUAACUGUUGUUUUACAAUUCCUUUCUCCUUAUUGGAAUCUGUAGACCCACUCAUAGCAUCAUUUACCCUCUCAACAUUCCAAAGAAGACCUAACAUCUCUACAUCUCCCUCCUUUGCAAAUCAAAUCCUCAGCCUCCUUUCCCUUUAUAUAGAUAUAUACUUUAACUUAUUAGCUUCCAUUACCACUGCUCUCCCCCCCCCCCCCCCCCCCCCCCCCCCCCCCCCCCCCCCCCCCCCCCCCCCCCCCCNNUUCCCUCCCUACACGAUGAAGUAAAUUUCAGUUUUCUUUAGUCUAUUGUUAUGUCAGCUGUUCAAGGUCAUGCAGCUAAGUUUGCAGCAAACACCAUCCUAUAGAGCAGAUCGGACGAUGAGAACAUGCUAGCUGAUUCUGACACAACAUCAGAACUCUCAGCCAACAUACAAAAUUUUUCGUACGUCUAUUUACCAAUUAACAUUUAAAUUUGUCUUCAAAUUCCAGUAUCUCAUAUUUAUUGUUUUUUCCUUCUCAAUAAGAUUAUUUAUUAGCUCUUGGAAUGUUGGAGGCAUUGCACCACCUAACGACUUAAAUAUGGAGGGCUUGCUUGAUACUCGAAACAACUUGGCUGAUAUUUAUGUUCUCGGGUAACCUUUACUUUCACUAUACUGCAUUCUACUAAUAGGUAUAAAUGAACCAAACCACCUGAUGACUGCAUUUUGCAUGUGCGGCUGCCCUUGAGAGUAAGCAGCAGCAUGCAAAUGCAUUGCCAUCUGAUAUAUAUCAGGUUGGCUUGGUCAAGGUGGUACUUUGAUAUUUGUAGUAGCUAAGGGUCAAAAUUCUACCUCGAGCUGCACUCUACUAAUAGGUAAACGAACCAAACCACCUAAUGACUGCAUUUUGCAUGUGCGGCUGCCCUUGAGAGUAAGCAGCAGCAUGCAAAUGCAUUGCCAUCUGAUAUCAGGUUGGCUUGGUCAAGGUAGUACUUUGAUAUUUGUAGAAGCUAAUGGUCAAAAUUCUAGUUCGAGAAUGUACAUGCCAUGAGCAAACAACUUUUAUCAGGUUUCAAGAAAUUGUACCUCUGAAUGCUGGAAGUGUUAUAGUGCCAGAGAACACAAUUUUAUGCAUGCAAUGGAAUUCUCUUAUUGGAACAGCUCUGAACAAGAUGGCUGUCAAUAACAUCUCCCUUCAGAAGGUAGAGGAAGAAGAAAAUCAAAAGGUUUACCCACUAAACAAAGAGAGUUCCUCACAUUUUGAAUGCAUAAUUAGCAAGCAAAUGGUGGGAGUUUUUAUUACCAUAUGGGCGAGGUCUCCACUCCUUCCAUAUAUCAGGCAUACAAGUGUCUCCGCUGUAGGCUGUGGUAUAUUUGGCUACCUCGGAAACAAGGUAAAGAAAUUAUGUAAAUUUCUAUUUCUUGAUCAUAAUAGCACGUUCCCUGCAAAAUAUAAUAAUUACUGAUUAAUUAUAGGAAGCAAGAUAUAAAAUUUGAGUUAUUUGCUAACGUUGCGCCCCCGCCACCAGGGUGUAAAUCCAUAAUCAGAGAAUAUAUGGAGUAUAAAUGUAACAAACGGGAUAGAAACACAAUCAUAUGCAUCUAGUUUUCAAUUUACUAACUUUCGGUAAUUGAUAUACAGGGUUCAGUGUCGGUUAGAUUUUGCUUGCAUGAAACAAGCUUCUGCUUUGUGUGUAGUCACUUAGCUUCCGGAGGAAAAGAAGGAGAUGAGAGACAGAGAAAUGCAGAUGCCUCCCAAAUACUAUCACGCACAAGAUUUCCUUGCGACUCAUUUCAGCAUUUGCCAAGAAAAAUUCUACAGCACGAGUACGUUUACCUUUUCAUAAUAUUAUAUUAACUUCACAUUUCCUUUGGAUUCUCAAGGCCUUAGCAUUUUCCUUUAGAGUUACAGUACCUUGAAUCUUGAUAUAGCAUCAACAGCUAGUGUGCUGAUAACACAGUUAAACGUUUGAUUAUGCUUCGUAGAGGCAAGAAGCAGACGCUAUUAUCCUUCCCAAGACCCAUAGACAGUUGAUUGAAGAAAAUCAAAGAUAAGGGGGAGAGAGAUUGUGUUAAAUGCAUAUGAACCCUCAUGUCAGCAUUUGCCCAAAAAGUUUUUACACUUGUCUUUCAUAGCACAAUAAAGAAGACUUCACUUUGUAUAAACUGAUAAUUACUCCUGUAUAUCAACUUGUGAAUAUCUUGGAAAGUCUUCUAACAACCAUAAGCUGGUUAACAUCAUACUGUAGAUGAUUUUGGCUAGCUGACGUGUCAUAGGUACAACAAAGAAGACUUCACUUUGGACAUAUUGAUUAUUAUAUACCAACUUGUGAAUAUAUUGAAAUUAUCUUCUAACAACCAUAAGCUGGUUAAUCUCAUACAGUAGGGUGAUUUGGCUAGGAGACAUGAAUUAUAGGAUUUACUUACCUGAAGCAAUAACAAGAUCUUUAGUCAACGACAGGCAGUGGAGCAUCUUAUUACAAAAGGAUCAGGUACUAUAAGCAAGAAAAAAUAACAAUUUUAAAGUUCCAGAAAGCAUUCAAAUAUACAGUAAGUUUGUGCUCCUAGUAUCACCAUUAUUUGGAAGUUCACAUUGAAAACUUGGAAAUAUGAAGCUGAAGGCCGAGCUAAGAGAAGGCUGUAUUUUCAAAGGUUGGCAAGAGGAAGAAAUUGAGUUUGCACCAACAUACAAAUAUUAUCCAGAUUCUGACGAUUAUUAUGGCUGCAGUCAGAACGAGAAAAGGGGAAAGAGUCGAGCCCCAGCUUGGUAAGUUGCCUAAGAACAUAAGAAUUAUUUGACCUAAAAGCAAAUGGAACAAGCAUAUUUAAUAAAGAAAAAUAUUCUAUAGGUGUGACAGGAUUAUAUGGUUUGGCAAGGGACUGAAGCAAAGCCAGUAUAAUAGAGGUGAGUUUAGAUUGUCAGACCACAGACCAGUACGGGCAACUUUCACGGCAGAGGUCAAGGUUCUAUCACCAUUAUAUUAGAGAACUUAGAAGGCCUUGCCAAACAGUUUUGAAAACUUUUUGAAGCAGUUCUAAAUUUCUAAUAAUGGCAAUAGUGACAGAUUAUUGUGUAUGGUAUAUAUCCCAUAACACCAGCAGCAUUCAAACAAAAACACCAGAAGACACAGUAAUCGGGAAAAGGAACAGUGAGAAAAGAAAUUACGCUGUAAGCAGUAGCGGAGCGAGGAUUUUCGCUAUGAAGUGUGAAAAUUUAAAGAAGUAAAUACACAAAUAGGUCAAGGGGAUUCAAUACAUAGUAUAUAUACAUACAAAAAUUUACUUAUCUAAACAGUGUAUUUUUUCGUGAAGCCGUUGACACUCACUGGAGCUAUGUAGCUCUGCCACUGGCUGAAAGUGAAAGGUAGUCAUAUAGAACGACAGCCAACAUUUAGAUUAGUGAAAGUACAGGUCAUUGUAUAAAGCAAAAUGUUAGCACAAAAGUAAAUGCAAAGAAAAUAACACCCGAGUAGCAUCUGUUGAACUGAACAAACUUACAUUUAGUUCUUGUGCUCAAAUAACUCUUUUGCCCUUUAGUUUAGAUUAUUAUUGUCACUUGUCAGUACUAGCAGAUAAUAUCAGCUCAAGGCAAAGUACGAACUCAUUUUACAGUAAAGUUUACUGUUUAUUAACAACAACGACCCAUAAAGUCCCGUUAGGUGGGGUCAGGGGAGGGUAGUGUGUACGCAGACCUUACCCCUACCCCAAUGGGGUAAAGAGGCUGUUUCCGAUAGACCCUCGGAUAUUCUUUUGACCAUCAAUUGCUUACUAAUACAAAUAUAGCCAACUAUCAGUCAAUCAGUAUACAACAUCUCAGAAAGAAACAAACAAAAUUGAACUGUUGAAGAUACGGAAAAAACUAUUUGAGAUCACAAUGAACACCUAGAAAAGAACCAACGAAAAACAGCAUAGCUAUCGAAGAUGAGGAAGUAACUCGUUCACCAUUAGGUGCUUUUGAUGUUGAACAUUGACGAGUAGUGCUUUUAAAGAACUUGGAUAAUCAAAGUCAUGAACACAGUUGGAUUAGGUAACUUUUUUUCUUUUUGAUAACUGUAUUGUCGGGGCCAGUUUGAGCGCACCUCGACUAAUUCCACGGAAUAUCUGCCACCUCCCACGACUAAUUCUACGGGAUACUUGCCACCUCCCACCAACAACACAAGUACCUGAUAACUCUAUCCACCAAGGCUUGAAUAGAUGAAAAGUUUCACCCACUUUAUUAACCACUAGGCACAACCUUAAUAACUUAUCUUCACAUAGUAUCUUGGAUAUACCAAAAUUUCACUUUCUUGCAUCUCUAUAACCCUCGUAAGACCACCUACAACUUACAGAGACCUUAUUACUCUAUGUAUACUUAAGGACCUUACAUCACCAAGCGACCUUAAAGUAUAGCAAAUAUAAAACUACAAAGUAUUUAAAGAAAAAGCCUCAAGAGUUUGAGCAUGCAUGGACCAUACAUUUGGUGUCCUUUAAACUUGUAAUUAAACAAAACGUAACAAAGUCUUCACUUCUUUUACUCUUGGCAAGAAUAAACCCUGUCAACAUGUAAUAAGAAUAGAAGUGAAAGUGUGAACCAAGGCAUCCUACAUCAAAAACAAGUUCAAUAGUAUAGUAUGCCAGAGUGGAAUCACGAGCGUACUUGGUGUAUAACCUUCAUAGCAUCUUUCCAUUAUACUUUGCUAGACAUCGAACACUUUAAAAGUAGGUGAGAAACUAGCUAAUGCUGUCAUCAGAACACUUACAAAACUCAUGAUUCACAAUGAUAUAUAUCCCAUAUUGUCCGUCUUCAGGGCCCUUUUAAACUGAGGCUCCUCCAAAAUGCAACUAAUCAUCCCGAAUCCCACAUCAACGGCUGAGUUCCUACUUAUUCCUACAUUAGCCUCUUUCUACAUAAAGCAACAAUAUGCACUAAAUCAGGCCGAUAAGGUCCAUGAUAUAUGUAAUCCGUUCAACAUUCAUUAACACCCUGAUUAACUAGAGUUACCAAAUUAGUAUUUUGCUCCUCGUAUUUCUCCAUCAUAAGGAGAUAAAAGCGAAUUGCAUUGAUUUCUUUCACCAAACAUUUAUCAUGAUUCAACAACUGUUAAUAUCCUCGACAAUUUUCUUAAUUAGCCCUAACAUUGUCUUUACCAAUAAUAGUGCACUAUUAUAUCCAAGCAACUUCCCACAUAAACAUUUGAAAAACAAUCAGAUGUCAUUCCGUAAUUGUAGAUAGAUAGAUAGAGAGAGAGAGAGAGAUUUCGUACCGUGCGAGAAGAAAUGAGCUAGCCUUUUCCCUCUCCAGUUUCGCCUUUCUAACCAUGAUUCCAGUAGUAGUACAUCAACAUUUGAGAGUGUACUACUGUUAUGCUAAACUAGAGCGACACAGAAAGAAAUUCUAAAUUCAAAACAAUAUCUAAACAAGGCGACACCAAAAGAAAUCCUAAAUUCAAAAACUAACUUGAAAUUAAUAAAUUACGUGCUCGUUUAGAUGUAAAAUUUGAUGGAAGAUUUUUUCAAAAAUAAUUCACUUUUUUCUAAAUCAGCUAUAUUCCUAUAAUUUCCAAUUUUCACUUAAAGAUGCAUUAUGAAAAUUUUCAAAAAUAUAAAAAACCGCAAAAACUAUUUUUCAAAAUUUUCACACACAAAAUUUCAAAAAUAACCCAAACUAAAAUUUAUGUCCAAAUACAGCUCUAAAUUUCAAAGGCUAUUUUCACUUGAAAAAAUUUUCACCAAUGCAAAGAAAAAAAAAACUUAAGGAAAAUGAAGCAUAUAUGUUGUAAUGCCGCCCGAAGAUACCGUAAUGCAAGCCAAUGAUGAACCUCGUGUUGCUAUUAUUUUAAAUUUUAUAAUGCAAAGUUAAAGAUUUUGUGUUGAUGAAAUUAAAAUUUUAUUUUAUCAAAUAAACUGUCAUUAUAUAUUGACCAUUAAUCUCCUAGUCACUAUUUACACACAGAACACUGUACCUACACUACUUCAAGCAACUAUAGCUACACUAACAACAAUUGUUUAAACUCUCCAAUUCUUUUUGCCAUUUGGUCUUCUUUCUCCUUGUACAUGUAUAUGCAUAGCAAUUUUCUUGCAUAAUUCAUCCAUGUUGUAUCUGCCCUUGUUGAAUCUAAUCGAGUUCCUUUCGCGCCAAAUGCAGUAGACUACCAUCACGAAAAUUGAUGUAGUCAUUUCUGCUUUACAGUUCUUCCUACUUGCCAAUCUGCUCAUCCAAUUCAGCUCAUUUUGCCAGCUUCCUAUUUGCCUUCCAAUGCCAAGCCAUUUCAAUACUCUAAGGAGUUUGUUAGUUUUUGGACAUCCAAAGUAUAAAUGCUCAAAAGUUUCCAUAUUGUUUGCACAGAACACAUUCUAAUGGAGCUUGAAUUCCAAAUUUUAUGAGUCUGUCUACAGUUGCUAGCCUUUGAUAAAUACCCAGCCAUAGAUGAAAUUUGAAUCUAGGAUGAAUAUAUGUAUGUAAAUGAAGGCUUUUCCACGUAACUUUUGGAAAUUGAGGUUGUAUCUGAACAUAAGCUUUAUGGAUUUGGAGGUUGUCUUGCUUUACUAAGUUCUCCAAUGUAGAUAUAAGGCAAUCCUGUCUUGGCCUCGUCUGCCUCACAUCUUCUCUUGCCUCAACAAUCUUCCCGAUCACCCUUGAUGUUGCUAUGGGUGUGUCCAUUUCUGCAACUUCUCUGUUUUUAUAUAGUAAUUGUUAGCCCAUUUGAUUCACUAUGUAUCUUUCUUCUUAUCCAAUGCCUAGAGAUAUUUCAGCAGUUCUGCUUUAUGCCAUAUCUUCAUGUUUAUUACAUUCAAACCUCCCAUAACUUUAGGCUGACAUAUCUUGUCCCAUGCGAUCAAAGCCUUCCUUGAGCACUCAGUUGAGCUAGUCCGCAGAAAGGUUCUACAUAUGGUUUCUAUCAUCUUCAUGAUCUUCUUUGGCAACAAAAAAAUUGAGCUUGGUAUAUUUGUAUUCCAAAUGGCACAGAUUUGAUGAGUUGAAUUCUCCUAAAAUAUGAAAGCAACAUAGCUGAACAGCGCCUUACUCUUUCAGUGAUAUUUUCUACCAGUGGUAGACACCUAAAGGGUAAAGAACCCUUUGUAUAUCCAGAGUUCCAUCAAUUGCUCUUUUAUGUAUUGUGCCACACUAGUAAUAUAUAUGGAACUCUUUUUUGCAUUUGCCUGCAGCCCAGAUGCAGCUAAGAAUCUAUUAAAAGCUUCCUGUAAUUUAGUAACUGAAUUUAUAUCACCCCUGCAAAAUAUUAACAAAUCGUCAGCAAAACAUAUGUGUGUUGCUCCCAGCUUCUUGCAUUUGGGAUGGAAUUUAAACUCCUUUUGUGAGGCCAGUUGGUUCAUCUCCCUUUGUAAGUAUUCCAAAGAAAUCACAAAGAGAUAAGGAAACAUUGGAUUUUCUUGCCUUAUUCCUCUCUUAGCUGGAAAGGUUUGGUCAGUCCCCCGAUUAGAACCAAAGAAUAGGAUACUAUUGUCACACAUUCCAUUAUCCAUAGAAUGAAUUUCUGAGGGAAGCCAAGAUCAGUAAGCAUGUAUCUAGCCAAUCCAAUGAAUCAUAAGCUUUCUUUAAGUCUACCUUAAGAACACAUCUUGGAGACAAGCCUUUCCUAUUAUCGCCAUUGAAUAGUUCAUGACUAAAUAGGAUAUUAUCAACAAUACUCCUCCCUUCUAUAAAAGCAGACUGUGCUUUCCCAAUUAUAAGCUUAAUUACCCUUUUGAUUCUUUUAGUCAAGAUCUUAAUUGGUACAGCAAGCAAUAGGCUUAUUGUCCUUCACUAUUGUAGGGGCUGGAACUCGAGGGAUCAAAGUUAUGGUUGUACAGUUCCAUGCUUGCUUCAUCUCUCCUGUUUGGAAAAAGAAUAGUACAUCAUCAUAUAUAUCUUGCCUCACUUCCUUCCAAUUCUUUGUGAAGAACUCUAUUGGAAAUCCACCAACUCUAUAGGCUUUAUGAUUUGGUAUGUCCUUCACUGCUUCAUCUAUUUAUACAUAUGUGAUAUCAUGUAUUAGGUCUUGUUGUUGUUGUGUUGAGAGGAAUUCUCCUUCUUUGAUGAACCUAGUAUUAGGACAUGACUUUAGUCCAAUAGCUUUUCACGUAAGUUGUCUGAAAAAGCAUGUGAGUUCUUCUUCUACAGCUUUAGGAUCAGUAAUCUUAACUCCCAAAACAUUAUAUACAGAGGCAAUUGUGCUCUUGCUUGCUCUAAUCUUCAGGUGUGUCUAGAAUAUUUAGAGUUUGAAUCCUCAUAAUCAAUCCAGUUCACUCUAGCCUUCUGCCUUAGUAUUCUCUCAUCUAUGAUGCUCCAGUUCUCUAGAUCUUGUAGUGUUUUUUUCUUGAUCUAUCCAUACUUGUUUGAAAGGAUCAAGUAUCAAAUUGGCAUGUGUACACUCUAGUUUCUGUCUUAGUUGGAUCGAUCUCUGUUCAUAACUAGACAACUCCUUGUUUAAACCUCUAGUCUCACCUUUCAGUUUUUGUACCUUGAGUCAGAUACCAGACAUAGGAUCAUCUCCCAACUUCCGCUUCCAGAUUUUAUCUACUAUAGGCUUAAACUCCUUGUGAUCCAUUGUUAACAUGUACAACUUGAAUGGCUUGGGAUAUAUAGUAUUCCUUCAUCCAUAUCUGGACCAAGAUAGGUGAAUGAUCUGACACUCCAGGUUCUAAGAAAUGAGUUUCCACAUGCCCAUAGCCUUUAGACCAUUCAAAAUUGCCAAACGCCCAAUAAAUCUUACUAUAAACUCUAUCAUCUACACUUUUCUUAUUACACUAUGUAAAGAAGCAUUCCUUAGUCCUCAAUGGGGUCAGUUGCAUGUUAUGUAUACAAUCCUUGAACUCUUGAACCUCAUUCAUAGUGACUGGUUGUCCUAAUCUAUCAUAUGUGAUUAGGAAAUUGUUGAAAUCACCACUGAUGAGCCAAGGAAUCUGAACCUGCCCCCCUAGCUAUUGCAGACCAUAUCAUAGACUUUCCCUUUCUUGCAAUUUGUUUCUAGCAUAUACUACUGUUAACAUAAUCUUGUACCCAUACACUGGAUCCAUCACUAGACAGUGAAUGAACCGCUCAUGGACUUGCAUUAUGUUAACUGUCAAAUUGGUCUUCCCUAGCAGCCAUAUUCUCCCAUUUUUAGCCUUAGAUAGUUAUAGCAAUAACCCCAAUCUUUAGCAAACUUAUACAGAAUAUAUUUUGCCUUUUUUCUUUUAUUCUGGUCUCUAGACAUCCUAAGAUAUCUAUUUUAUUCUUUUGCAAAAAGAUUCUUAGUUCCUUCUACUUAUGGGGCUUAUCCAUCCCUCUUAUGUUCAAAGUACUUAUAAUCAUGGUGGGUUUUGUAUAGGUUCAGAGUUAUUCACCCCUCCAUGUAUACCACAUUCUUUCAAUAUUAUAAAUCUAUUAGAAGAGCUAGCCUCACCAGUUAUCUCUUGCUGAACACCUGCAGUAUUCUAUCUUUCACUACCUUUCUUUCUUUGUAUCAUAAUGCUCUUUUGAUCUAGUUUAUCUGUUGAGUUCUGUCUGCCUUUGACAAGUGGAGGUUGUACUUCAUUCUCCUCUCCAAUCCCCCCUUCCUGCUGUUCUUUUGGCUUCCAUUCCUGAAUAAUUUUCCUCCCUCUUCCUCUAUGUCUUCUGUUUGGGGCCUUGAAAUCAGUGUCUACAUUGUGUUUAGUUGACUUCCAGCAUUCAAAGCUGUCAUGCCCAAUAUAUAAGCAUUCACUACAGAAUUUUGGUCUCCAUUCAUACAUUAUUUCCUGUUGUCUAGUACUAGUAGGAGUUGCAAGUUCAACAUUCUCCACUAGUGGCCUUGUAAUGUUAACUUUCACAAGUACUCAGUGAUGUUUUAAGCAUCAAUAUCACAUAAUAAGGGGGGUGAUUUGUGUGGUGCCCAAUUUUUGCUUUAACUGAACUGUAGAAGAACCUGGUUCUUCUAGGUGUUCCAACUACUACUAUUUGUGGAAUAAUAAUACAGAAAAUAAAGAACAUAGAGAUUUUUACGUUGAAAACACCUAGCUGAAAAAGUGAAAAAACCACGACCUACUACUCAGUAGGAUUUUCCAAAACUUCCACUAAAAUUACUGAGCCAAAACAGUAUUUACAAAAACUCUUUGCAAGCUUAGGGAUUAACUCUAAUCCCGUUGUGGCACACAGCCUCAACUGUUGCGACAACUUCAAGUUAACUCUAACUUGAACACUCUAGCUAUCUAAUACAAUUGUUUUUAUAAAAACUAAAAGAUGCAAUGUAAAAUAUCCUACUGCAAUUGAACUAGAAUAAAAUAUAGACACAUGAAAAUGGUUCUUCUAUCUCGUUCAAGUAGCUUCAAGAUUGCACACUCAAAUCACACAUUAAUUGCUUGCAAAAUUGCCUUGCUCUUUUGCUCUCAGUUUAAGUUUAACUUCUGCUUAUUUGCAUUACCUGUAAAAUAGAACAACACUGACAUUUAAUAGGUUAGUAAUCAGAGUUUGAAUGGGAUACAAUUGCUAACUCUCCUAUCGUAGAUGAGGUCAUGGUGAUCUCAAACUCCAACAUUAUCUUCAUCCUAAACCGUGUUAGCUUCAUGUAAGGAGUCUUUCUCUCAUUUUCCAAUAUGCAACAUUUUUUAUCAAAUCCAGAGAUAUUGCUUCUUGAUCAGUUAUAUUUAUCUCCUUCACUUGCGUCUCAUGUACAAGUUGAUCAUGACUGUGCUUCACAAGAUGGACCUGGUCCAUGUUUGAGUUCUUUCGUCAAAAUCUUCAAAACUUCACCUGUUCUUGAGGCAACAAAUUUUUCCUUUUUGAUGAUGACAAACUCUGCGCUUUUUACUUAUUUGGAUCCUAUAAGAACUCAUCUUAACCGUCAAUACAAAGUUUAGAAAAGUCACUUAUCAUCAAGGACCAGGUUAAUUAGGUUAUAAAUAUCACUUAUUUAGAAUGCGUAAAGCACAAUAUCUCUUUCCCCUUUCGGCAUCAUCGAAAAGUUGCAUACAAAGUAUGAGUCCCUGAUUUUAUUUACUCAUGGCCACUAAGUCAACUGCAAGUGCAAUCAUGGUUUAAUCAUCAGUAAUCAAGCAAACAUAUUUGAACUGUCAAGGAAAGAUUAACAUUGAGCAAGACCUAAAAUAGUAGAUAUCAUUGAUAGAAAUAUGUUGCUGCCACAAUCGACAACCAGAAAGCUAAAAACAUUUAAAGCAUGAUAAAAAAGAUAGAAAAAUGCCUAAUCUAAGUCACUGAAGGUACUAGAUAGGUUAAGGAGACAAAAGCUAGGAUUCCUAAGGCCGUGGGGAGCUAGAGGAUUGGUUUUGGGCUUGGAGAAAAUUCAGCAUAUUAUAAAGAAUUCCAUCAUUAUUCUUCUUUUCUUUGGUAAGCUCAGCUAUGAGGGCAUACCUCUCAAAUUCCACCUCUGCCACACGAGCCUUGAGCCUAGCUAUCUCAGUAUCCUUGGUUUCACAUUCCUGAUCUAGAGCCAUGACUUUGGUGCUGAUAGGAGUCUUCUUGGAUGAACCAGGUUCAUUUGGGAUGGCACUGACUAAGCAGUCAUAAGCAAUGAGAGUGUCAAUGCCAAAAUGAUCUUUGCUUGAGGCCAUUUCCCAUUUCUUCAGAGACACACUGCACCUAUCUAGAAUCGUAGUCAAAACAAAGACAUGGGGGUAGCAUGAGCCUUGGAGCCAUUGAUGACCCUCCAGUAGCUUGACUAUGAAGGCAGACCAAUUAAUUUGCCUUUCACGUUCCGGGCACUCCAUAAGAACUAGGUCAAUAUAAUUGGCAAUGUGCCUUCUCUCAUGUAUGGGCAAUAGGCAUUUAUUGACAAAUUCAAACAAGACCAUGUGCUGAGGCCUCAUUUCACUUUUCUGAACAGCCCUGACUUCAUUCACAUCUUCAACAUCACAAAACCUCCUGGUAAUUUCAAGGGUAGUAUGAAGGGAGUCCAGACAAGGUUACAUUUGCCUUGUAUAGUCAUCAAACCAUUUAGAGGGCAUAUCAAGGAUCUCUUAUAGUUUUCCUGCAUCAAAGGACACUUGAACUCCUUUUACUAGGGUGCUAACCUUGCCAUCCUUAACCUCUGCAUUUUCCAUAACCUUAAUUAUCUCAUUCCUGGCUAGCCUACCAUCCAUCUGAGGACCACGUCCUUCCACCCCUGAGCAGCUAAGCCACCCACCAGUCUCAUCAUUCCUGGCUCAACCAAGUCUUUCAUGAUUCUACCCUUCAAAAUCUUUCUUUUUUCAAACAUGGCAGGCUUGUCUUAUUCACCAUCAGAAUUAUCUUCUACUUCUUCUCCACUCCAUUCCUCAUCUUUAGAAAUUUUCACAUGUUUACUUUUCACUGCAUACCUUGUCCUCUUGGCUAGUGAAGGUUCGGCAGCCUCAGACACAGAGGAAGACAUCUUGGAAGAAUUCUUGGGUUUUUUGGGCUUGGGGGUCUGAACCUCCACUGGUUGAACUUCCUCCUGAUGGACCCAUUCCAUAUCCUCAACCUCCACAGCCUCUGAGGACUCUGCAACCUUCCCUUUUCCUUUAGCCAGCCUUUUCUUCUUACUCUUAGCUAGAGCCUUUUGGAGAUCACUCUCACUCUACUUCACCCUGAUUCUUGUUUCUCUACCCUUUGGCAAUGAAGUUUCAAUAGUUGUUGGGGAUGAAGCCUUUCUUUUCUUGGAGGGUUUAGGAAACUAGGGGCUUUGGGUGUGGGAGUUCUUCAUUUUUUGGGGGUCAUAGCUUUACCCAAUCUUUUUCAACAGGCCCGCUAAGGUCUCUUCAGUAGAUGAACCAGGUUCAACUUCAUGUGUGCUUAGAUUAACCAGCCCCUCACCAGCUUUACUAUAACCAUUUCCCCCUGACUUCUUACCACUCUCUUAUACCUUUUGUUAUUCAACCCCAUAGAUAGCAGGCACAGACAAAUCAGGAGUGGGUGAAUGAUCAACCACUCUUUUUACUUUUCCCCUCUCUUCACAACAUGCACCAUCUCUCUCUUUUUCUUUUUCAGAUUUCUUUUUACCUCCACUCCUAUGUAACUUAGGUAAUUUUACAUACCUGAUACGCCCAACCAGAACAAAACUAGUUUCUAAAUUUUCAGACAAAGAAGAACUUACCUUAGAAGGGGAUUCUUGUGUCUUUUUAGAGUCGGAAGACCCAGGUCAUUCCACCUCACUAGCGGAUUUGUAUGACUCAGAAUCAUAGUUGGAGUCAGAGUCUUAGGCCUGGCUUGCCUUUAAUUUCUCAUUUAAUUUCUUCUUGAGAGCCCCAAAUGCUAUUAUUUUUCAAGCAAGUAUUUUCACCCUUCUUAGCCUGGGUUUGGGAGAUGUACUAGGUGGAUGAGGUGUAAAUGAAUUAGAGGUAAUGGGUGGUGGAGGAGUUCCAGGAUUAUUUUGUGGGUUGGUAACGAUCGUUGUUUUCUUGAGAGAAUUUGUGAGUUAGAAUAUUGGAGAAGAGGGCAAGUGAAAGUGAAGAGAAUUUUUGACGGUUUGAAAUUAUAGAGAUAGAAGAAGGAAUGAUGUGUAUUUAAAUAGAAAUACACAUUCAAUGUGUAACGGUAGAUUUAGCAAUGAUCAAUUAGAGGUAUAAUAAAAAAAGAUAUGUAUUUGAUAGCAGAAAACACGUUAACAAUUACAUAUGGAGAAGAUAUGCAUAGGUAUUGUACCAGUUUAAUAACUCAACUAUAAAAACGAUGUGCAUCUAACAUCAUUACACUAUUAAAGCUUGAAUAUAUAGAAGAUAUACGUGAAAUAUUAAGUAAUCCAUCAAUAGUUGCAUAUAGAGAAAAUAUGUAUGAAUUAAAGAAGUCAAAUUACACGGAUCCACAUAUGAAGAAGCGAUGUGAUGUGAAUCAUCUCAAAAAGUAAAGCAACAUAUAGAGAAAAUAUGCGUAAAAGCCAUGUAUAUAUUCCGGAGAUAGCAUAUAGAGGAGAUAUACAGUAAAAAUCAUGUAUACAUUCGAGAUGUUUACAUAUAAGAAGGAUACACAAAAUCCACAACUGACCAAUUUUUCAUAAUUCGUGUGUACGUCAUCAGGAGAACAUGAGAGGGCGAUCUUAGAAGGAUGGAUCCUUAUCCACAAGCUGCAAGGACAACUCACGUGCAUAAUCAUAAUCACCGCCACGGAAAUAUCACGUUCCAUAGUAACUCAACCUGCACAGAUAACUCACGUGCUACAAAUCCAGUCCAUAACACAGAAAAUAUAUACAAGAAUACAUGUAUACAAUCAAGGAAUAUCAAAAUCACAUACCCAUGGGCUGAUAAAUAACAUGCUAAGGUAUAUUCAUGUACAUAGAGAAGGUGUAUACUUGUACAUAUAAAGAAGAUAUGUAUUGUGCCUAUACUUACCAUUCAAACACCAUAUAAUGAAUAUAUGCAUAAAGAGGCAUGUAUACAUUUCAAAUAUAUCAUAUAGAGAAGAUAUGCAAUAAAAACAUGUUAUAUACCCAAGUUAUUUGCAAAUAGAAAAGAGAUUUAAAAAUCAAACACUGGUCAGUUUUCCUUAUAACGUGUGUACAACAUCAAGAGAGAAACAUGAGAGGACGACCCUAGGGGGUGGAUCCUUGUCCACACACUGCACGAACAACUCAUGCUCCAUAAUAUAACAUCCGCAGGGACCACUCACGUGCUACCAUAACUCAAACUACAUCGGACCAUUCACGUGCUACCAAUCCAGUCCAUAUCUCAUAUAAAGAUAUACAAGAAUACAUGUGUACGAACAAUAAAUAUCAAAUCACAUAAUCAUGGACUGAUAAAAGUGACAUACUGAAGUAUAUGCAUGUGAGAAGUGUGCUAUCACAGAUCAGAUAAGGUGAAUACGCCACAAAAUAGCAAUUAUCACGUUUGACCAGGAGAUAACCUACACAUGAUAUCUAACAUGAUUUAAGUAGCUCACAAAGGGGUACAACCAUAUGAACAAUGAUAUCAUGAAGCCUAGUAUUCAAUACAAGGCAUAACAUAGUCUAAGAACUACCCCGAGCAUUAAUGAAAAUCUAGUGUAUAUAUACACGCUCAUCCACUGCAUGUGCAUCACCCUUGGCACGUACCCACCAUCAACAAUUCAAACAACUAGUGCCUUAAACUAAGGCUAGGCAAGAUACUUACCUCAAACAAGCAACAUUAAUACUCUAAAAAUGCCUUUCCUUGAAAAUUGGGUUCUGAAUGGCUCGAAUCAAGCCAAAAACAACUCAAUCACAUCAAAAUAAAGAUAUAUGAAUCAAUUUCAAUCUUUACACAAUUCCCAAAAGUUAACAAAAACCUGGUCCCAUAUGGUCACAACUCGAGUCAAGGGAUAGAUCCCCAUUACCCAUAACCCCACGAGUCUAAAUAUGUGAUUAGAUUCAAAAAUCAAGUUUGAAUCAACCUCUAAAUCCUCAAUUUUCACUCUCUUAAGUUGUAGGAACCCCCCCCCNNNNNNNNNNNNNNNNNNNNNNNNNNNNNNNNNNNNNNNNNNNNNNNNNNNNNNNNNNNNNNNNNNNNNNNNNNNNNNNNNNNNNNNNNNNNNNNNNNNNNNNNNNNNNNNNNNNNNNNNNNNNNNNNNNNNNNNNNNNNNNNNNNNNNNNNNNNNNNNNNNNNNNNNNNNNNNNNNNNNNNNNNNNNNNNNNNNNNNNNNNNNNNNNNNNNNNNNNNNNNNNNNNNNNNNNNNNNNNNNNNNNNNNNNNNNNNNNNNNNNNNNNNNNNNNNNNNNNNNNNNNNNNNNNNNNNNNNNNNNNNNNNNNNNNNNNNNNNNNNNNCCCCCCCCCUCCUCAUAUUUCCCUCAAAAUUCAAUAUUUUAAGAGUUAAUAAUCCGUGAAAAUUCUUGAAAUAAUAUAAAAAUGACUAGAAAUAACUUACCCCAAGGUCUUGUAUGAAAGGCUCCUUAAAAAAUCGUCCCAAUUAGUCUAGGGUUCAAAUUAUGAGAGAACAUGCUAAAAUCACAAAAUUAGAACUUCAUAUUGUCUGCCCAUCACUACCCUUCAUGAACGAGGUGACUACUUCACGUUUGCGAAGCAAAAAAAUGCAACAACCAAAACAACCCAUCGCGAAUGCAUUAGAACCAUCGUGAACACAAAGCUUAAAUGCCCCUGGCCUGUGUUAACGUGAGCACCUUCGCCCAAUCGCUAAGGCAAAACUUUAACCACCUCCUAGUCUACCUCCCUAUUACACGAGGUACGAAUACGAGGACCCAAAAGCCAUAACUCUAUGCGAACGUGACCUCCAUCCCGCGAACAUGAAGAGCAAAACAAGCCUACCCAAAAUCUUUCUUGGCGAUCACGAGACUUGCUCCUCGAUCACGAAGUACACCAGAUACCAUCAAAAUUUUGCAAUUCCAACAAUGCUCCAGGUGGUCAGAAACUCACUCGAGCCUCUCGGGAACCCGUCCAAUAACACCAACAACUCCAUAAUCACUAUAUGGACUUAACCAAUGCCUUGAAAUACAUACGACAACAUCAUAUAAAUGGAUUAAAGGUCAAAACAAAUUGAAUUUCCCUUGAGUUCAAGAACUUCAACUUUAAAUCAAACACAUGAGUUAAGCCCAACCUAUUCGGAUUACAACUAAACUUAGCACACAAGUAACAAAUGAAAAAAAGAACCUCUUUUAACUUCCGGACAACCAAUGCAAUUUCGAUAUCAAAUUUAAGUCCCCGUCAAACUCGCAAACUUUCCAAACCGUAAAAUUUCUAACUUUUAACAAUUAGAUCCAAAACACGUUAGGAACCUCCAAAUCUAAAUUUUGAUACAUACUAAGUCCAAAAUCACCAUAAGAACCUAUUUGGAGCCAUCAAAUUACCAAUCUGAGUUCAUCUACAUAAAAUUUAAACCUUGGUCAACUCUUACAACUUAAGCAUCUUAAAAUAAAACUGAGGAUUCCAGUUGACUCCAAAACCUUCCUGAAGCUAAACCAACCAUCCACGUAAGUCACAAAAUUCAAACAAGAAUAGGGAAAAUAUUAAAUAGGAGAACAGGGAUCAAAUAUAUAAGACGACCAGCCGGUUCAUUACAUCAACAAUGCUAUUUAUAUAGUACUAGUCAAGCAUCGAAAAAUCAUAAUUCGAUGCAUAUUCUAUAACAUAUACCCUUCUCAAGCAAUAUCGGAUAGUUGCAUCAUUCUCUUAAACAUCUGAAAUCUCUUAUGUUGUCUAGAGCUCAUUACUUUCCUCUCAAACUAAACCACAACCUUGUCCAUUCAAUCCCAAUUCCAUGUGGCUCACCAUAUCUAUCAUGCUAUCAUAUGCAAAUAGGAGAAUCUCAUUAUCAACUUUGAACCACAAAUAUGAUGGACACUCCAUUAACCAGAAUCCUACCACCCAACUCAAUCCAGGAGAACAUUGCAACAUGCAACAAACCUUAUAUACUUUUUGAAGACAUCAAUUUCAUCGUGGUUGAAACCAUCACAACUCUUUGAAACCUACUUACAUAAUCAAAUCAUUAGAAUUGUUCCCCAUAAUUCAACUAUGCUAAAUGGUCGCCCACCAAUUCCCUCCAUUAAAGUUUUGGUGACCACAAGUAGCCUGGUAUGGAUCCUUGCUUUCUUCAUUGUAAACAAUAUCAUCCCCACGAAGCAGAACAUGAAGACAAAGACCCUUGAGUGAAUAUGCCGCAAUGAUGUAAGGCCGAACUCACCAGGAUAAGUACGGUAGGAUUUGCUAUGACCGUACCUCUCGUAAAAAUAAUCAAAGGGAAUAUACGACUCUUUCAAGCAUGUCAAGUCUGGAUUCUUCUUUAGACCCAUCAUUUUGAGAAAACCUCUACCCUUGCAAUUUUCUGGCAUUAACAAACCCGGAGUGUCCCAUGGUAGUGAGCGCUGCUCGGAGUGUAUUUGAGACUCUUAGGGAACUUUGACACAUCCAAAUGGGAGAAAGGCUUUGGAUCAUGAUCUCUUGAAGUUGGUUUACCUCAUACUUCAUACAUGAAGUCUGAAUUAGGCUCUCCUUGGUUGUACUUUUAAUUUCUGAUGUAUUCUUUUACUUUAUUUUGAGAUGUAAUAAUUGUGUAAUAAUCUCUUGGGGAUGGCUAGUAAAAAGUGCGGGUUUUUAUGCAUGAAAAAAAGGUAGAUACCAUGCCUAUAGGGUUUCUGAAUUCUGCAUAGAAAUCAUGCCUAUAGGUAUUUCUGAAUUCUGCAUUCUCACAUAGAUGCGAUGCCUAUAGGCAUUUUUGAAUGUUGAAUUCUCACAUAGACGUCAUGUCCAUAGGUCAUUUCUGAAUUCUGCAUUCUCACAUAGAUGCCAUGGCUAAAGGUCAUUUUUGAAUUCUGCAUUCUCUCAAAUAGAAAUCAUGUCCAUAAGUAUCUGAAAAUCUGAAUACUGCAUAUUCAUAUAGAAGAUAUGACAAUAGGUCCUUUUGAAUCUUGUAUAUCCAUUUUCAUCUAACAAUCAUGUUCAUAGGUCUUAAACAAUCAACUGCAAUUAGAUAUCAUGUUCAUAGGCCUUAAAUGAAAUUCAGCAUCUAGAUAUCAUGUCUAUAGGGCUUCUGCAUUUUUACCAUGUCUAUAAAAAGUUUUAAAAUCAACAACGCAUAAAAAGCAUGUCUAUAGGAACUAUUAUUAAUCGAAUUGCUUCAUUCACGUAUAAGGCUAAAACCAGCAAUAACGACGUAUCGUCACUUGUAGAACUUAUAACCUUCAUAAAAAACUUCGUUUCCUCAAUAAUCUGGUAACCUUUCUUAAUCAAUAUGUAUUCAGUUUAUUUUAUUGCUUUUUGAAUUCAUUAUAUACCAUGCCUAUAGGAUCCUUGUCCAACACUUAGGCAAGCUUUAGGGUAAAAAAUUAUAAACCAAAUCUGUUGUUAUUAACUACAACCAGCAGGCAUGUCUGAUUCGGGCUUUUUAUCUGAAUUAUGUAACAAAUAAGUUACCUUAACCUUUCAGUUCUUAAUCAGACCCUAAACAGUAUGUGUAAGUCAUGCUAACUAUGUGCUUCUUUGAUUGAAGGAGGUAUAUUUGAGCCUUUUUACUUGUUAUGUGCUUUCCUUGAACUUGCUAUACAUUGUUUUGUAUUUCGCCUUAGAAUUUCACCUUUGAAACCGCAAAUAAGCCUAAUAUUCCUCCUAUUUAGGAUUAGUAGACUUAAACACCUCCGGCACUGAUAGGAUUGGUGCCGAUAAUAGCAUGCAAUAAUCAAACGAGACCAUUCUGCACAUUAAUACCCUUAACAGGGUGGGAAAGGGUACAUAUGGAUAUGAUGACUGUCACACCUCCUUUUGCACUAUGCACCCCGCGAAGGGCAUAAAGGAGUUUCCAAUUAAAGGACAGUUAGAACGCGAUUUGGUUAUUAGUUAUUUCAGAGUCGCCACUUGGGAGAUUAAUGGUGUCCCAAGUCACUGAUUUGAAUCCAGAACCGAGGAAGAUUAUGACUCUGUUAACAGCCCGCGAACCAGAAAUCUGGAUAAGGAAUUCCGUUAACCCGGGAGAAGGUGUUAGGCAUUCCCGGGUUCCGUGGUUCUAGCACGGUCGCUCAACUGUUGUAUUUGAUUUUAUCUGAUUUUAAUACAUGCUAACUUUUGUGCCCUAUUAUUUAUAUACUGCUUUUACCAUUUUUUAUUUUAAAAGACAUAAGAUGUCGCGAAAACGUGUCUUUGGCCACGUCGCCAUCAAGGCACCCGUAGUCAUCGACAUAUUUUGACUUCAUCGAGAUUUGGAUUUGGGUCGCAUCAAUGCGCACCCGAGUUUAGGAAGAUAAAUUUAAUUAAAUCGCGCUUAAAGGUUCUAACGUACUAUUUUUUGGGAAAGGUCGUUGAAAUUCGCUAAACGGCCCUUCCGAAUUCUAAUCAUUUUUAAUAGUCAAUUACUGAGGGCCCCACAUUUAUUUUUGAUCGGUGAGGCUCAUCUCCAUUUUAACCAUUUCUUUUAUCCUUUAUUUAUUUUAUAAGAAUUAUGACGUCAUGAAAAUGCAUUUCUAACCUCGUCGCCAUCAAGGCACCCGUGGUUAUCAACACAUUUUGACUUCGUCGAGAUUUGGAUUUGGGUUGCAUCAAUGCACACCCGAGUUUAAGAAGGUACUUUAAUUAAAACGCGUCUAAAGAUUCUAUCGCAAUAUUAUUUGGGGAAGGCAAUGAAAUUCACUAAAAGGCCCUCCCAAUUCUUAUCAAUUCUUAUAAUUGUUUAUCGAGGGCUCCGCAUUUGUUUUUGUUUGACGAGGCUCGUCUCAGCUUAUUUUAAAAGGCAAACUUAAAAGCGACUAUGUUUCCCUAUUUUUGGUUUUGUUUCUAACAAGGUAAUUAAAAUCCUACCUACUAUCUCGGUCAAAAUAACCCAGAACCUUCCAUACUAUCCUUCAAAUCCUACAGCCCAAACGACAUGGGCCUGUGACAGGCCAAUUCUUCGUGUUCCAACGAUCAAAAACAGUGUGGGCAUCGAGCCCAAAUAACGGGAAACAACGAAAUUCUUGUUGAGAAAAACGAAGGUAAUAGCUGUGUUCCAACGAUCGAAAACAGUGUGGGCAUUGAGCCCAAAUAAUGGGAAACAACGAAAUUCUUGUUGAGGAAAACGAAGGUAAUAGCUUCAACAAGUAAUGAAAUCCCUAGUCUGGGAUCGAAUCCCCAUCCCAACUUGAAUAAAGAUCGAGCCUAAUUAAAGAUGGUGAAGACGCACGACUAACAAGACCUGGCAAUGUAUUUUCUCAACAAAUUAAUCAAGGAUCAUGACAUGAUUCAGGAGCAUUAUUUGGACUAAUAUACUAAUUACAUGAUGAAUUUAUUCUUCAGUAGGUGAACUUCAAACCACUCUAUCAAUUCAAUUCAUCCAAAUAGUCCUAGUCAGGUUAGUUAUUACAAAUGAUCUCUGAAAUCAAUAAUUCAUACAAAAAAAUAAUAUCGAACGAGUAAAGUAGCACUGAUGCAAAAUCACGAGUGCUAAGCAUUCAUUUCAGUUGACUACUUCCACACGAUGACACCAAUUGACUGAACUUGGGUUCCUACUAUUUCAUUUCAAAUCGAGACUACAUCAGAAAUGUUCAAGAGUAUACCUGGGAAAGAUGAAACAAUGAAGAGAAGAAAAAUCAGCAGCAGAUAGCAGAAUCAAUUGAACCACAUCAAUAAAUUCUGCCCGGAAAAUGGAUCAAUAGACCAGGUAACAAACAGAAGGAGAAUUUGACCAAAAUAGCACUAAUCCCAAACACGAACUCAGAUGACAUCCAUAACAUCAGCAGGCAUCAAAAGAGGAACCUAAUUAAACUAACGACUGAUUGAAACAAUUAACAUUUGAGAAAAAGAAAAUCAAAAUCACAUCAUAAUUUAAAUAAAGAAAUGACAAUCAACCCUAAACGAAUUAACCUAAACACUUAUGACAAUCAUAAAGACAAUUUGGUGCUAAACUCGACUUGAAACUAGAACUAUGCUCAGAACAGUGAGUCGAACCAGGAACUAAAGAAACGAAAGAGAGAAAUCUUACCAAAAAUUAGUCUUCAAACCAACUGCUUUUGGAAUCAAGCUUUAAUUAAUCUUAUAAGUUUACCUUUGUCAAGGUAAUCUCAUAACAUUAAUCAAAAACCAUCCGAAUAAAACGAAUUAACCUAAACACUUAUGACAAUCAUAAAGAUAAAUUGGUGCUAAACUCGACUUAAAACUUGAACUAUGCUCAAUAGAACAGUGAGUCGAACCAAGAACUAAAGAAAUGAAAGAGAGAAAUCUUACCGAAAAUUAGUCUUCAAACCAACCGCUUUUGGAAUCGAGCUUUAAUUAAUGUUAUAAAUUUACCUUUGUCAAGGUAAUCUCAUAACAUUAAUCAAAAACCAUCCGAAUUCCUUAAGUUUCAAAACAAGUCGUCAUUCUAAAACCUUAGAUCCGAUAUUCGAGCCUAACCAGGAUGAUUCGAGAAGCACGGCUUGGGUAUUUGGGACGAGAAGGUUAAGGCGGGUCUAUGGCGUAAAUUUGGGGUCAUUUGGCAUAGGUGACGAACUGGCCGGAAAACUUCAAACGAAGAUUCGAACAACCUGGUUGUGAUUCGAAGGAAGCCAGUUUGAUAUUUGGAAUUGAGGAAUAGAAGGAGAAUCUGGGGUGUGAUUUUGGGAUGGAUUGGCCAUGGCGGCGACGGCUCCGACGAGGUGUGAAACGGUACGAGGAAGAUGAGAGGAUGUCUCUAGGGUUCUGAUUCUAUUCAGACACUUUUAACUGAUUUGGGGGUGAGCUAUGGGCCGUUAGAUCAAGUUAUAUCGACGGCUGAGAUUGAUUAGUUCAAGACGGCGUCGUUCUGGUAAAAUGGGGGUUGGGUCGGGCAUGUGGACAGGUAUGGGCUGCAACAGGCGGGUCCGAUUGGCUUUGAGUGAAAUUGUUUGGGCUUGGAUGCUGGUGUGUUUUUGGGCUCAGCUCUACUUCAAACAUAACAGGCCAAUUUCUUUUCCUUUGUUAUAAAAACUCUUGUGUUUUUC
This 30666-nucleotide long non-coding RNA is filed under the name Nicotiana benthamiana. Its description in RNAcentral is "long non-coding RNA (NBEN_LNC012387)". Lineage: Eukaryota; Viridiplantae; Streptophyta; Magnoliopsida; Solanales; Solanaceae. The record is from RNAcentral.